AUUGAACGCUGGCGGAAUGCUUUACACAUGCAAGUCGAACGGCAGCACAGGUGCUUGCACCUGGUGGCGAGUGGCGAACGGGUGAGUAAUACAUCGGAACGUGCCCAGACGUGGGGGAUAGCUCGGCGAAAGCCGAAUUAAUACCGCAUACGAUCUACGGAUGAAAGCGGGGGAUCGCAAGACCUCGCGCGUUUGGAGCGGCCGAUGGCAGAUUAGGUAGUUGGUGGGGUAAAGGCUUACCAAGCCUGCGAUCUGUAGCUGGUCUGAGAGGACGACCAGCCACACUGGGACUGAGACACGGCCCAGACUCCUACGGGAGGCAGCAGUGGGGAAUUUUGGACAAUGGGCGAAAGCCUGAUCCAGCCAUUCCGCGUGCAGGAUGAAGGCCCUCGGGUUGUAAACUGCUUUUGUACGGAACGAAAAGCCCUCUUCUAAUACAGGGGGUCAUGACGGUACCGUAAGAAUAAGCACCGGCUAACUACGUGCCAGCAGCCG
RNAcentral lists this ribosomal RNA (495 nucleotides) under uncultured bacterium. RNAcentral describes it as "bacterial SSU rRNA". It matches the Rfam family "Bacterial small subunit ribosomal RNA", at positions 30 to 517 of the family's 1533-position model. The record is from RNAcentral.